RNAcentral lists this ribosomal RNA (253 nucleotides) under uncultured bacterium. RNAcentral describes it as "partial 16S ribosomal RNA". It matches the Rfam family "Bacterial small subunit ribosomal RNA", at positions 524 to 776 of the family's 1533-position model. RNAcentral also lists the same sequence under 1 other name. The record is from RNAcentral.
UACAGAGGGGGCAAGCGUUAUUCGGAAUUAUUGGGCGUAAAGGGCGCGUAGGCGGCUUUUUAAGUGAGAUGUGUAAUCCCCGAGCUCAACUUGGGAACUGCAUCUCAUACUGGGAGGCUAGAGUACUGGAGAGGGUGGUAGAAUUCCACGUGUAGCGGUGAAAUGCGUAGAGAUGUGGAGGAAUACCAGUGGCGAAGGCGGCCACCUGGACAGUAACUGACGCUGAGGCGCGAAAGUGUGGGUAGCAAACAGG